RNAcentral lists this ribosomal RNA (488 nucleotides) under Personopsis purpurata. RNAcentral's name for it is "partial 16S ribosomal RNA". It matches the Rfam family "Bacterial large subunit ribosomal RNA", at positions 1845 to 2598 of the family's 2925-position model. The record is from RNAcentral. Lineage: Eukaryota; Metazoa; Mollusca; Gastropoda; Littorinimorpha; Personidae.
AUAAGGAGUCGGGCCUGCCCAGUGAAAAUAUUAAACGGCCGCGGUACUUUGACCGUGCGAAGGUAGCAUAAUCAUUUGCCCUAUAAUUGAGGGCUGGUAUGAAUGGUUUGACAAGAAUAAAACUGUCUCUUUUCAAUUUUAUAGAAUUUUAUUUCUAGGUGAAGAAGCCUAGAUAUAAUUAAAAGACAAGAAGACCCUAUCGAGCUUAAAAAGAGUAAUAGAUUUUAAGAAAUUAGUAAAAAACAAUAGCUAUUAAAUAUUUUGGUUGGGGCGACUAAGGAACAAAUAAAGCUUCCUUUAUUUAAAAUUAACUUAUUAGUUUUGAUCCAAAAGUUUUGAUUAAAAAAAUUAGUUACCGUAGGGAUAACAGCAUUAUCUUUUUUAAGAGCUCAUAUCGAAAAAAAGGUUUGUGACCUCGAUGUUGGACCAGAAUAUCCUAAAGAUGCAGCAGUCUUUAAAGGUUGGUCUGUUCGACCAUUAAAAUUCUA